Molecule: ribosomal RNA, 253 nt
Filed under: uncultured bacterium
Lineage: Bacteria
Description: partial 16S ribosomal RNA
Rfam family: Bacterial small subunit ribosomal RNA
Source: RNAcentral
UACGGAGGGUGCAAGCGUUAUUCGGAAUUACUGGGCGUAAAGCGCACGCAGGCGGUCUGUCAAGUCGGAUGUGAAAUCCCCGGGCUCAACCUGGGAACUGCAUUCGAAACUGGCAGGCUAGAGUCUUGUAGAGGGGGGUAGAAUUCCAGGUGUAGCGGUGAAAUGCGUAGAGAUCUGGAGGAAUACCGGUGGCGAAGGCGGCCCCCUGGACAAAGACUGACGCUCAGGUGCGAAAGCGUGGGGAGCAAACAGG